GGCGCAGUAGUGUAGUGGUCAUCGUUCUUGACUUCCGUGCUAGAGGUCAGGGUUCAAUUCCCACUCGGUGCUG
RNAcentral lists this transfer RNA (73 nucleotides) under Clytia hemisphaerica. RNAcentral's name for it is "tRNA-Gly for anticodon UCC". The record is from RNAcentral. Lineage: Eukaryota; Metazoa; Cnidaria; Hydrozoa; Leptothecata; Clytiidae.